AUGGAGCCGGCCUUGAAAUACCACCCUUUAAUGUUUGAUGUUCUAACGUGGACCCGUGAUCCGGGUUGCGGACAGUGUCUGGUGGGUAGUUUGACUGGGGCGGUCUCCUCCUAAAGAGUAACGGAGGAGCACGAAGGUUGGCUAAUCCUGGUCGGACAUCAGGAGGUUAGUGCAAUGGCAUAAGCCAGCUUGACUGCGAGCGUGACGGCGCGAGCAGGUGCGAAAGCAGGUCAUAGUGAUCCGGUGGUUCUGAAUGGAAGGGCCAUCGCUCAACGGAUAAAAGGUACUCCGGGGAUAACAGGCUGAUACCGCCCAAGAGUUCAUAUCGACGGCGGUGUUUGGCACCUCGAUGUCGGCUCAUCACAUCCUGGGGCUGAAGUAGGUCCCAAGGGUAUGGCUGUUCGCCAUUUAAAGUGGUACGCGAGCUGGGUUUAGAACGUCGUGAGACAGUUCGGUCCCUAUCUGCCGUGGGCGCUGGAGAACUGAGGGGGGCUGCUCCUAGUACGAGAGGACCGGAGUGGACGCAUCACUGGUGUUCGGGUUGUCAUGCCAAUGGCACUGCCCGGUAGCUAAAUGCGGAAGAGAUAAGUGCUGAAAGCAUCUAAGCACGAAACUUGCCCCGAGAUGAGUUCUCCCUGAGACUUUAAGUCUCCUGAAGGAACGUUGAAGACGACGACGUUGAUAGGCCGGGUGUGUAAGCGCAGCGAUGCGUUGAGCUAACCGGUACUAAUGAACCGUGAGGCUUAACCUUACAACGCCGAAG
RNAcentral lists this ribosomal RNA (763 nucleotides) under Salmonella enterica subsp. enterica serovar Schwarzengrund. RNAcentral's name for it is "partial 23S ribosomal RNA". It matches the Rfam family "Bacterial large subunit ribosomal RNA", at positions 2180 to 2925 of the family's 2925-position model. The record is from RNAcentral. Lineage: Bacteria; Pseudomonadati; Pseudomonadota; Gammaproteobacteria; Enterobacterales; Enterobacteriaceae.